AGUGUGUAGGAGGGCAUGGAAGUUCGUAACGAAGCUUUUGGUGAAAACCUGGGUGAAACAACUACUAGUGCAGAUCUUGGUGGUAGUAGCAAUUAUUCAAACGAAAUCUUUGAAGACUGAAGUGGAGAAGGGUUCCAUGUGAACAUUGCUUGGACAUGGGUUAGCCGAUCAUAAGGGACAGGGGUGUUUUGCACAUGUAGGCUUUGCUUCGUUUCUUGACAAGGAAUGGGGUUAAUAUCCCCCAGCCAGGACGUGGAUAUUGCAUGGCAACGUAAACUAAUUUGGUGAUGCAAUGGGAAGCCUUGGUAAGCGUUGUCUUUUCUUUUCAAUUGUCUUGUACCCUGAAAUCAGAUUGCCUGGAGAUAGGGUUGGUUGACAAACAAAGCGCCUUGUCUGCUGAGGCGUCUGGUGUGUUUCUAAUUGUCCUUGAAAAACCAAAUGCAUGAUUUAUUCUCACCCCUGGUCGUGCCCAUAACCGCAUCAGGUCUCCAAGGUUAGCAGCCUCUGGUCUCUGGAGCAAAGUAGGUAAGGGAAGUCGGCAAAUUAGAUCCGUAACUUUGG
This 561-nucleotide ribosomal RNA is filed under the name Oxyrrhis marina. Its description in RNAcentral is "partial Eukaryotic large subunit ribosomal RNA". It matches the Rfam family "Eukaryotic large subunit ribosomal RNA", at positions 1376 to 1939 of the family's 3401-position model. Lineage: Eukaryota; Dinophyceae; Oxyrrhinales; Oxyrrhinaceae. The record is from RNAcentral.